This 285-nucleotide ribosomal RNA is filed under the name uncultured bacterium. Its description in RNAcentral is "partial 16S ribosomal RNA". It matches the Rfam family "Bacterial small subunit ribosomal RNA", at positions 335 to 617 of the family's 1533-position model. The record is from RNAcentral.
UUACCUACGGGAGGCAGCAGUGAGGAAUAUUGGUCAAUGGGAGAGAUCCUGAACCAGCCAAGCCGCGUGAGGGAAGACGGCCCUAUGGGUUGUAAACCUCUUUUGUCGGAGAACAAAACCCGGGACGUGUCCCGGACUGCGUGUAUCCGAAGAAAAAGCAUCGGCUAACUCCGUGCCAGCAGCCGCGGUAAUACGGAGGAUGCGAGCGUUAUCCGGAUUUAUUGGGCGUAAAGGGCUCGUAGGCGGUUCGUCGCGUCCGGUGUGAAAGUCCAUCGCUUAACGGUG